GACGAACGCUGGCGGCGUGCCUAAUACAUGCAAGUAGAACGCUGAAGGAGGAGCUUGCUCUUCUGGAUGAGUUGCGAACGGGUGAGUAACGCGUAGGUAACCUGCCUGGUAGCGGGGGAUAACUAUUGGAAACGAUAGCUAAUACCGCAUAAGAGUAGAUGUUGCAUGACAUUUACUUAAAAGGUGCAAUUGCAUCACUACCAGAUGGACCUGCGAUGUAUUAGCUAGUUGGUGGGGUAACGGCUUACCAAGGCGACGAUACAUAGCCGACCUGAGAGGGUGAUCGGCCACACUGGGACUGAGACACGGCCCAGACUCCUACGGGAGGCAGCAGUAGGGAAUCUUCGGCAAUAGACGGAAGUCUGACCGAGCAACGCCGCGGGAGUGAAGAAGGUUUUCGGAUCGUAAAGCUCUGUUGUAAGAGAAGAACGAGUGUGAGAGUGGAAAGUUCACACUGUGACGGUAUCUUACCAGAAAGGGACGGCUAACUACGUG
This 495-nucleotide ribosomal RNA is filed under the name uncultured bacterium. RNAcentral's name for it is "partial 16S ribosomal RNA". It matches the Rfam family "Bacterial small subunit ribosomal RNA", at positions 28 to 507 of the family's 1533-position model. The record is from RNAcentral.